UGAACGCUGGCGGCGUGCCUAAUACAUGCAAGUCGAGCGAACAGACGAGGAGCUUGCUCCUCUGACGUUAGCGGCGGACGGGUGAGUAACACGUGGAUAACCUACCUAUAAGACUGGGAUAACUUCGGGAAACCGGAGCUAAUACCGGAUAAUAUAUUGAACCGCAUGGUUCAAUAGUGAAAGACGGUUUUGCUGUCACUUAUAGAUGGAUCCGCGCCGCAUUAGCUAGUUGGUAAGGUAACGGCUUACCAAGGCAACGAUGCGUAGCCGACCUGAGAGGGUGAUCGGCCACACUGGAACUGAGACACGGUCCAGACUCCUACGGGAGGCAGCAGUAGGGAAUCUUCCGCAAUGGGCGAAAGCUUGACGGAGCAACGCCGCGUGAGUGAUGAAGGUCUUCGGAUCGUAAAACUCUGUUAUUAGGGAAGAACAAAUGUGUAAAUAACUAUGCACGUCUUGACGGUACCUAAUCAGAAAGCCACGGCUAACUACGUG
This 495-nucleotide ribosomal RNA is filed under the name uncultured bacterium. Its description in RNAcentral is "partial 16S ribosomal RNA". It matches the Rfam family "Bacterial small subunit ribosomal RNA", at positions 30 to 507 of the family's 1533-position model. The record is from RNAcentral.